ACGCUCGACACCUACUGGAGGCAGCAGUCGGGAAUAUUGCGCAAUGGAGGAAACUCUGACGCAGUGACGCCGCGUAUAGGAAGAAGGUUUUCGGAUUGUAAACUAUUGUCGUUAGGGAAGAGAAAGGACAGUACCUAAGGAGGAAGCUCCGGCUAACUACGUGUCAGCAGCCGCGGUAAUCUGAGCGGGCUGGCAAGGC
This 199-nucleotide ribosomal RNA is filed under the name uncultured bacterium. RNAcentral describes it as "partial 16S ribosomal RNA". It matches the Rfam family "Bacterial small subunit ribosomal RNA", at positions 328 to 539 of the family's 1533-position model. The record is from RNAcentral.